Molecule: long non-coding RNA, 650 nt
Organism: Cyprinus carpio carpio
Lineage: Eukaryota; Metazoa; Chordata; Actinopteri; Cypriniformes; Cyprinidae
Source: Ensembl
GGGGUUAAACCUUUAAAUGGUUGCUUUCCAAUGAUGUUAGUUAUGGCCUUGCAUCAGCGGGAGCAUGACACCACCCAAUCUGCUGUCAUGUCAUUGCUGCUGUAUGCUGGCCUGUUUCCUGACAUGGUGGCUGCCAUCAGCGAGCGCCGGGUCAGAGAAGGCACUGGCACACCAGUCCAGGAAGACUUGGUGCUUGUUGGAUUUGGCAACUUUGCCACCGUGUCCUUUAAGGACCUUUAUGAGGCGAUGGACCUCGACAGAAAAGACUUCUUCAAGUGGCUGAUGAAGCAGACAGCCAGACCGGGUACAAAGAUGGAAACUCUGCAGAAGUACAUUCAGAGAAGAGAUGCUGAGAUGCUGUCAGAAUCAGCGCCUCCAGUGGUCGCCUCAAUCUCAGCUUCUGCAGAGGAACCAUCUGAUGAAGAUCUGCUUGCUGCAGCGGCACAUAUAGAUGUUCCAGGUGAGCAUUACCUUCCCUUUAAUGGGAUUACAUUUGUGGUUUAAUUAAAGAAUACCGUGCCUUUGUAAAUUGCAUAACCUGUAUGGUUAUUAUGUAUUAUCGGCCUUCAGAUGGAUGGUUUUGAAAACAAUAAGGUAGGAGGUGUACUACACCUUCUGUUCAUGCAGUCUAACAUGGCUUUCUUUCUUUG